GAUGAACGCUGGCGGCGUGCCUAAUACAUGCAAGUCGAGCGAACAGACGAGGAGCUUGCUCCUCUGACGUUAGCGGCGGACGGGUGAGUAACACGUGGAUAACCUACCUAUAAGACUGGGAUAACUUCGGGAAACCGGAGCUAAUACCGGAUAAUAUAUUGAACCGCAUGGUUCAAUAGUGAAAGACGGUUUUGCUGUCACUUAUAGAUGGAUCCGCGCCGCAUUAGCUAGUUGGUAAGGUAACGGCUUACCAAGGCAACGAUGCGUAGCCGACCUGAGAGGGUGAUCGGCCACACUGGAGCUGAGACACGGUCCAGACUCCUGCGGGAGGCAGCAGUAGGGAAUCUUCCGCAAUGGGCGAAAGCCUGACGGAGCAACGCCGCGUGAGUGAUGAAGGUCUUCGGAUCGUAAAACUCUGUUAUGAGGGAAGAACAAAUGUGUAAGUAACUAUGCACGUCUUGACGGUACCUAAUCAGAAAGCCACGGCUAACUACGUG
This 497-nucleotide ribosomal RNA is filed under the name uncultured bacterium. Its description in RNAcentral is "partial 16S ribosomal RNA". It matches the Rfam family "Bacterial small subunit ribosomal RNA", at positions 28 to 507 of the family's 1533-position model. The record is from RNAcentral.